AGCCGGGUCGUCUAAUGGUAGGACAGCAGACUCUGGAUCUGUACGUGAGGGUUCGACUCCUUCCCCGGCUGCCA
Molecule: transfer RNA, 74 nt
Filed under: Bacillota bacterium
Lineage: Bacteria; Bacillati; Bacillota
Description: tRNA-Gln
Rfam family: tRNA
About the family: Transfer RNA (tRNA) molecules are approximately 80 nucleotides in length. Their secondary structure includes four short double-helical elements and three loops (D, anti-codon, and T loops).
Source: RNAcentral